UGUCAGGUAAAGGUGAAAAUGAGUCGACUGGUCAAUUCUGGGGCCUACUGAAAUUAAUAAAGCCUUUUAUUGUACCAGUAUAUGAAUCUUCAGAAUCACAACCAAUUACCGCAGCUAACAAACUGAAGACCCCACAAGAUAAAAUGGAGAGUCAAGCUUCACUAAUAGUGUCGAUAAAGAAUGUAUUCCGCAGAGUUUUUCAUGUACUUUUAUACGCACCAUUUACACGUUUUUACGACCACGUUUAUGAUAGUGUUGGUAUCUGGAUGGAUGAUGAUAUACAGUUCAUGUAGCAUUAAUGGAAAUGCGGCUUUCUUCGUCAACACACUCUCCUUCAAAAAUAAUAUAAUCAUUAUAACGCUCCUUUAACUCUUCGAUGACUUUUUCAUAGACGAUUGGACGUUGGUCUCAAAACAGGGCUUCAGUUUUUGUAAUUUUCCUGUAAGAACCCUUCUUUUCUUCAUCUUUCCACUUGAUUUUAAAUCAACAAGAAAUUAUGUAAUUCCUUUUUAAAUACAAUCGUUUUUUUUAUUUGAUUGCCAUAAAUAAUAAAAA
Teleopsis dalmanni is the source of this 555-nucleotide long non-coding RNA. RefSeq lists it as uncharacterized. The transcript is spliced from 3 exons. The record is from RefSeq and is a predicted model, not a curated record. Lineage: Eukaryota; Metazoa; Arthropoda; Insecta; Diptera; Diopsidae.